This 67-nucleotide non-coding RNA is filed under the name unclassified sequences. Its description in RNAcentral is "S15-Flavobacteria ribosomal protein leader". It matches the Rfam family "S15-Flavobacteria ribosomal protein leader". The record is from RNAcentral.
UACUUUUGCAGCCGUCUUACAAUAGAUGUUUGACAUACAUAAUAAUCAUUUAAAUAAUAUUGGAAUG